GGUACAGACCCGAAGCCAGGUGAUCUACCCAUGGGCAGGAUGAAGUGCGCUUGACCGCGUACGGAGGUCCGAACCCGUAGGUCGUGCAACGCCUUGGGAUGACCUGUGGGUAGGGGUGAAAAGCCAAUCGCACUUGGUGAUAUCUGGUUCUCCCCGAAAUGGCUCUAGGGUCAGCCUCACGCCAGAGGCGGCCGGGGGUAGAGUGCUGGCUGGGGAAGGGGGGCAACCUCCGACCUCAUUCAAACUCCGAAUACCGGUACGCCGUUCCGUGGGAGUGAGACGGCGGGGGAUAACCUCCGUUGUCGAGGGCGAAACAACGCAGACCACCAGCUAAGGCCCCCAAAUCCAGGCUAAGUGGGCAAGGCGGUGUGAUCGCAUAAACAGCUGGGAGGUUGGCUUAGAAGCAGCCAUCCUUCAAAGAGUGCGUAAUAGCUCACCAGUCUAGCGACCGCGCGCCGAAGAUGUACCGGGGCUAAGCCUGGUGCCGAAGCUGUGGGUGGGGUCCUUCGGGACCCCGCGGUAGGGGAGCAUUCCGCCGUAGGUCGAAGCCGGGCCGCGAGACCCGGUGGACGAAGCGGAAGAGAGAAUGCCGGCAUGAGUAGCGAGAGAUGGGUGAGAAUCCCAUCCACCGAAUGCCCAAGGUUUCCUGGGGAAGGCUUAUCCACCCAGGGUUAGGCGGGCCUUAGCCGAAGCCGAAAGGCGUAGGUGAUGGACAGCCGGUCAACAUUCCGGCCCCUCCAGACCCGCGUUACGAGCGAAGGGGGGACGCCGCAGGAGAUCCUCCGCAGGUUCACGGUUACACCUGUCCAAGUGCCAAGCCAGAGGGGGUAGGCAAAUCCGCCUCCUCGAAACCGUCUCUGGACCGCCUUCGGGCGGGGGGAGGCGAGCAGGCGAGGCGCGAUGGCGAGCCCCGUAAGGGGCGAAGGGAGGCCCCUUCAGCGGCCGAGAAAAGCCCCUAGCCAGUUGGUCUGGAGUCCGUACCGCAAACCGACACCGGUGGGCGAGGAGAGUAUCCAAAGGUGGGCGAGCUAACCUUCGUCAAGGAACUCGGCAAAAUGGCCCCGUAACUUCGGGACAAGGGGCGCCCUCUGGGUUACCGCAAGGUGGCUUGGAGGGCCGCAGAGAAACGGCUCAAGCGACUGUUUACCAAAAACACAGGUCCCUGCUAACCCGAAAGGGGACGUAUAGGGGCUGAAACCUGGCCACUGCCGGUAGGUCAAGGAGAGGGGUGCAAGCCCUGAACUGAAGCCCCGGUGAAGGCCGGCCGUAACUAUAACGGUCCUAAGGUAGCGAAAUUCCUUGUCGGGUAAGUUCCGACGCGCAUGAAAGGUACAACGACUUGAGCGCUGUCUUGACGAGGGGCUCGGUGAACUCGAAGCACGGGUGAAGAUUCCCGUGACCCGCGGUGGGACAGAAAGACCCCGUGGAGCUUUACUGCAGCUUGGUGUUGGGUCUCGGCAUCUGCUGUAGAGGAUAGGUGGGAGGCUGUGAAACCUGGGCGCCAGCCCAGGCGGAGCCGACCUUGGAAUACCACCCUGCAGCUGUUGAGGCCCUAACCGCACGCCGUUCGCAGCGGCAGCGGGACCGCGCUAGGUGGGCAGUUUUGCUGGGGCGGCAGCCUCCCAAAGAGUAACGGAGGCGCACAAAGGUCCCCUCAGGCUGGUUAGCGAUCAGCCGGUGAGUGCAAGGGCAGAAGGGGGCUUGACUGCGAGGCCUACAAGCCGAGCAGAGGCGAAAGCCGGUCCUAGUGACCCGCUGGCUUCCUCGUGGGAGGGCCAGCGAUCAUCGGACAAAAGUUACCCCGGGGAUAACAGGCUAGUACCGCCCGAGAGUUCACAUCGACGGCGGUGUUCGGCACCUCGAUGUCGGCUCACCCCAUCCUGGGGCUGUAUCAGGUCCCAAGGGUCGGUCUGUUCGCCCGUUAAAGGGGUUCAUGAGCUGGGUUCAAACCGUCGUGAGACAGGUUGGUCCCUAUCUACCGUGGGCG
Molecule: ribosomal RNA, 1987 nt
Filed under: Candidatus Bipolaricaulota bacterium
Lineage: Bacteria; Candidatus Bipolaricaulota
Description: partial 23S ribosomal RNA
Rfam family: Bacterial large subunit ribosomal RNA
Source: RNAcentral